This 733-nucleotide non-coding RNA is filed under the name Orosius orientalis. The record is from RNAcentral. Lineage: Eukaryota; Metazoa; Arthropoda; Insecta; Hemiptera; Cicadellidae.
GAAAAGUUUGACUCUAGCUUAGAGGUUGAUUAAUUUGUUAAUCUAUAUGGGUUUUAGUUAAUUAUUUUUAUUCCAGUAGAAAGUUUUAAUUAUAUUAUCUGUUUUGAAUUAGGAAUCAAAUUUAAUGUGGAUUAAUAUUGUGCCAGCAUUCGCGGUUAGACAAUUCACUUGAGUCAAUUUUUUAUUUUUAUUAAUUUCUAUUGUUGUGAUUUAUAAUUAUUUUGCUUAGGUGGAAUUUGCAUUAAUUAUUAAGUUCUAUGAUAACUUUAUUAAGAAAUUAUAGUAUUAGACUAGGAUUAGAUACCCUAUUAUUUUUAAUGUAAAUUUAAAAGAAUGGUAGAAGUUAUGUUCUUUAAAGCUCAAAGAGUUUGGCGGUAAAAUAUCUAUUCAGAGGAACCUGUAAGUUAAUUGAUAAACCACGAUAGUUUGUAUUUCAUUUAUAUUUGUAUACCGCUAUAAUAAGGAAUGUAUUUAAAGAUUAUUUUCUUUUUUUUUACUAGAAUUUAUGUUAGGUCAAGGUGCAGUUUUAAUGAAGUUCUUAUGGGUUACUUUUGUUUUAAGUUUUAUAAGGAUUUUAUUGAUUUAAUAUCAUGAUUUAGGAUUUGACAGUAAAUUUAUCUAAUUAGAUCUUUUGAAUUUGCUCUAUUUUAUGCACAUAUCGCCCGUCAUUCCUAAUAAAUUAGGACAAGUCGUAACAAAGUAAUUUUACCGGAAGGUGAAGUUAGAUUUAACA